UCUUCUGGAUGAUAUAGCAUUUCAUAUUGAUUGUAGGUUUGGUGCUUGUUUUUUCCAUCAACUUUUUUUUUAAUAAAUCUGGUAUAGCAUACAAUAAAUAUAUUUGUUGUAGUCAAGGAGUAGGAUAGCUUGGAUUGCAACACCUCGAAUCGUGAAUGUGAAGCCAGAGAAAAUUAUAUUCAUAGUUAGCAUCAUUAUUGCAUGUGG
Molecule: long non-coding RNA, 207 nt
Filed under: Elaeis guineensis (African oil palm)
Lineage: Eukaryota; Viridiplantae; Streptophyta; Magnoliopsida; Arecales; Arecaceae
Description: long non-coding RNA (EGUI_LNC077849)
Source: RNAcentral